RNAcentral lists this long non-coding RNA (231 nucleotides) under Lathyrus oleraceus (garden pea). RNAcentral describes it as "Pisum sativum (pea) long non-coding RNA (PSAT_LNC035009)". Lineage: Eukaryota; Viridiplantae; Streptophyta; Magnoliopsida; Fabales; Fabaceae. The record is from RNAcentral.
GAUAGGCCAGCUCACCACAAGAUUCUAACUCGUGCAACAUCGCUUCAAUCUCUCGUUCCUCAUUGUCAGUCAACACAUUGUAUGCUCCGAUUAGGGAUCUUUCCAAAGGAUUAGAAAUAUGGAUUUGAUUCACGACCUCCACUACUUCCUCUUCGCUUGCAUCAAUUCGAAAAGAAUCAUGCUUGUCAGUUGGAUGUUUCAUUGCUUCGAAAAGGUUAAAGGUCACCUCUU